Molecule: transfer RNA, 82 nt
Filed under: Ixodes scapularis (black-legged tick)
Lineage: Eukaryota; Metazoa; Arthropoda; Arachnida; Ixodida; Ixodidae
Description: tRNA-Tyr
Rfam family: tRNA
About the family: Transfer RNA (tRNA) molecules are approximately 80 nucleotides in length.
Source: Rfam by way of RNAcentral
GCGGUCGUGGCCGAGUGGUUAAGGCGAUUGACUAUAAAUCCAUUGGGGUCUCCCCGCACAGGUUCGAAUCCUGUCGACUGUG